This 172-nucleotide small RNA is filed under the name human gut metagenome. RNAcentral describes it as "Bacteroidales-1 6S-Bacteroidales RNA suggested". It matches the Rfam family "Bacteroidales-1 6S-Bacteroidales RNA suggested". The record is from RNAcentral.
GUUGAUUGGGAAACUCGUCAAUUAUACGUGAAAUACCGAGACACCCUUAGCCGCCCGAUGGCGGGCCCCGCCCUCAGCAAUGGGGGAGCCUUUGAGCCGGGGGAUUACAAAGGACGGCGAGGACUCAAAUCCUGUCUUAUCGGAGUUUCAUCGCAUCCUUUGAUGUGGCUUU